AAGGAGUUUAGUUGCGAAGUUAAUCGAAAAUGACUAUUAAUUUCUGUUGGUCAAACGUGGGUCAAGCCUGGUCAAUUCCUAGUAGACCUAGGAGAUUCUAAUCAAACUAGGAAGAAGUUGAAUCGAUAAUUAUUAUGGGAUCCGGUCUGACCGAUUUGUUCUUUUGUUUAUUAUCAGACGUGGAGUUUGACAUGAAUCUAAUAAGCUUAACCCUAGAAAGGGUAAUGGGUUAGAUAGAAGAAUUUUGAGUUUUAUAUUUAAGUAUUCUUUUUCUGAAAUUGAAGUUUGGUCCUAAGCAUGGUUAUUGUGUCAAGAUUCGAGGAGACCUCACUGGAGUGUAUAUUUGGAUUUCGUCGGGCUUAUGCGUAGAGUAGUGAGUGGACUUUGGUUUUAAAUAAUAUGCAUACUAUGGUUUUGGUUGAACAUUUAAAUUGUUGGAGCAUUUUGACGUCAUUUUGAUUUUGACGAUUUAUUUCUCUUGGAGAGUUACCGAAAAUUGGAUUUUCGGUGAUAUAAAUAUGUAUUUAUGAGGAGAGUAUGUAUAAAAAUGCUAGCUAGCCCUAUGUGUCUGUCCACCUUAAUGGCGUAGCAUAUAGCCGCAUUACGGUGUGACGUGAGCGUUGGACGCGAGCGUAGUAGCCCUAUAUGAGUGUUUAAUUCAUAUAGAGGGUAUGGGCACAUAUUUAUACACCCGUCUAUCCACUUUAAUGGCAUAGUGUAGCACCGCAUUAAGGCGUGACGUGAGCGUUGGACGCGAGCGUAGUAGCCCUAUAUAGACCAAUGGAUUUAUAUUGGGAGUAUGGACGUGUGUAAUACAUAUAUAUUGGGCGUUGACCGUCUCUCUCUCUUCUCCCCGACUCUCUCUCUCGUUCCUCAGCCUUGCCGCGCCGGAGUGGCGCCGUCCGGCCACUUUUAGCGACGAGACCACCACCCAAAAUGAUCCUCUUCUUCUCUUCUCCCUGACCUUGUCCUUAAAUUUCAUGUGCAAGCAUGUUUGAUGCCGAUCGGUGGUGGAGGAGGAUGAUUGUCCUUGAAGAAAUCCGGUGAGCCUAGCGGUGGUUCUAGUGUAGAAGGGUAGGUUCCCACUUCUCUCUUCCUCCUCUUCAUUUUUGUGGCCUUGCGUGUUCAAAUCGAGCCCUAAUUCUAGAAACCCUUUCUUCUCUGUUUUCUGGGUUUUGGGUUCCUAGCUCCGGCGACCUGGGUUCAAGGAUUUUCGGCAAGCUCUUCAGCGUUUCAAUGGGUUCUGUGAGCUUUGUGUGAAGUCGGGGUGGAUCUUGGAGGAGUUGCUUGUUGGUCCGGGCUGAGGCAGAGGUCGGGUGCGUUAGGGCUGAGAGGAACCGAAGUGUGGGGUGUUGAUUUGGUGGAGUUGGCAACCGAGGUAGCAAAUGCAAGUGGUUGGAGGUUUUUGCAGGUUGGGGUCCGGCAGGAGAGCAGCUAAACUAGAGUUUUGGGAUCGACUGAAGGUAAAAUCGAUCUCCUCUGGUAAAAUCGACGUUUUUCCCUGCUAUUGUGUAUUUGCUGCCUCGGUAAUCUUUCUAAGUGAGAAAAGUUUGUAGAUGGUAAUCGGAAAUCUUUCUAAGUGAGAAAAGUUUCUAUUUUAGGAAACUUUCCCUUUUUAAACACUUCCUGACAAGACCCACCCCGAAUUUCACCCUGAAACCCAGAGUAAGUCGUGCGAGGACCACCUCUAAGGAAAAUUUACCGAAAAAUCGGGAUAACCUCCCUUGAAAAUGGACAACCCUUCCUAAUAAUACCUGCAAACACUUCUGAAAAUUUAAAUCCAACCUUAAACUCCUGGAGCCUCCGUGCUCCCCAAAUCACAACACCACCCAAAUUAUUUACUAAUCUAAACAAAUCUCAUAUCCAACCAUUUAUAGGUUCAGAGCAACUCUAACAGGAAGAAAGGAAACAUAAUAAAUUAACAAGCGGAAGCUAUAUGAUGACUAUGCCUUAUCUCCAUGUACGCCCGACCUUGACUAAGCUAACCUACAAGCUGGGCAUUUUUAAAACGAAGGGCCCAGGGGAAAACAUUUGAAACACAUUAGAGUGAGUGGACAAAAAUAAAUUAAUAAAUAAAAUAUUUAUGUUUCCCC
Molecule: long non-coding RNA, 2093 nt
Filed under: Fragaria vesca (wild strawberry)
Lineage: Eukaryota; Viridiplantae; Streptophyta; Magnoliopsida; Rosales; Rosaceae
Description: long non-coding RNA (FVES_LNC001039)
Source: RNAcentral